GGGUUGGUGGUGUAGUGGUAACGCAUGCUAGCGGCUAUCCGUCGCUUCCGCUAGCAAGUCCCAGGUUCGAGUCCUGGCCGACCUG
Molecule: non-coding RNA, 85 nt
Organism: Phyllosticta capitalensis
Lineage: Eukaryota; Fungi; Ascomycota; Dothideomycetes; Botryosphaeriales; Phyllostictaceae
Source: the annotation of a GenBank genome assembly